Long non-coding RNA from Oryctolagus cuniculus (rabbit), 549 nucleotides. RefSeq lists it as uncharacterized. The record is from RefSeq and is a predicted model, not a curated record. NCBI's taxonomy places the organism in Eukaryota, Metazoa, Chordata, Mammalia, Lagomorpha, Leporidae.
GUCGAAGGGCUCCUCCUGCUCCAGACCUCGCAGUGCGCCCGCCGUCUGCGCCAGGGCGAGUCUGCCCCUUCCCAAACCUGCGGGAGCGGAGCCAGAAUUGACGCAUCGGAGAAAGAGCGGAGGAAGGGGGCCCUUGGGAACAUAUUUUACUGUAAGGAAAAAAAAUGAAGCGAUGAUCAAGAGGUGCCUUCGUGCUGGGAAAACCAGAUUCCGUGCAGGCUGGGGAGGCCAUUCUGCCAUGGCGGCCCCUUGGCACGGCAGCUGCCUCGGCGGGGAGCAGUGAUUGGAGAGGGGCUCCCUUGCAGGCCUGGGCUCCUCAGGGGCCAGCACACAUACAAGUUCUCUGCUGUGCCCUGGGAAAACAGUGGAAGAUGGCCCAAGUCCUUGGGCCUCUGCACCUGCGUGGGAGACCUGGAGGAGGCUCCUGGCUCCUGGCUUUGGAUUGGCACAGCUCCAGCCAUUGUGACCAUCUGGGGAGUGAACCAGCAGUUGGAAGACCCCCCCCAACUCCCCGCUGCCUCUCCUUCUCUCUCUGUGUAACUCUGACUU